This 85-nucleotide transfer RNA is filed under the name Pseudomonadota bacterium. RNAcentral describes it as "Proteobacteria bacterium (bioreactor metagenome) tRNA-Tyr". It matches the Rfam family "tRNA". From Rfam's summary of the family: Transfer RNA (tRNA) molecules are approximately 80 nucleotides in length. Lineage: Bacteria; Pseudomonadati; Pseudomonadota. The record is from RNAcentral.
GGAGGGGUACUCAAGCGGUCAACGAGGGCAGACUGUAAAUCUGUUGGCACAGCCUUCGUAGGUUCGAAUCCUACCCCCUCCACCA